UCAGCACACUAACCCCGUGUCCCAGCACGCUAACCCCGUGCCUCAAUCAGCUCCACUAGUUCAGUAGUCAGGCACUGACCAGGGAGUCAGCCAUUUUAAGCGCCGUCUCAACUGCAAAAUCUUUCUUGAACGUCCACUCCCUGAAAAAAAAUCCCACAAUGCAUUGCAAAAAACCAGGGAGCAUCGAUGCUCACUACGUUCCCUUACUGGAAGUGAUGCCCUGUUUCCUGAAGCCUCUCAGCACGAAAAGAAAAAUAAAUAAAUAAAUAAAUAAAAAGGAGGACGAACCGUCAGCCAACUUUUGACUACAAAUGUAAGUAGCUUGUCAUUGUAGCUCUCAAAUGAUUACUUACCUAAGGGAUUUUUUGCUUUAUAUGACCUUCCACAUAUGACGACCUCAACUAAAAGCCACCAAGUCAUUGAUGGAUGUUUCGGUGAUGAGCUUUGGCAUUCUCUCUUUGCACCCCAAGUAGACAUAACGUGACUGCGAGUCUUACGCCAGCAGGAGAUCAUAUAUAUAUAUAUUCGCUUUACACCGGACUUUAUUCGGCGCAGAUUCGUCAGUGUCUACGCACACCUGCGUGUUCCUGAUUUGGAAAAGUCAUCCAUGCACUCUAUAUAAUCUGCAUAAUAAAAAUCUUUCUACUCGCAGCUGUGUGUAUUCGGCACGCGGUGAGAUUCAGAAGCACAUACUACAGUUACAGCAUGGAGGUGCGUCACGCUGUCGGGCGUGUUACAUUAAACGUUCACACUGUGUAUUAUCUUUCUCUGCUUGCUGAACCUACAUGCUCAUCCACUGGGUAAUCACGAAUAAAGAAAAAACACUUCUAGCUGGACGCAAAAAUGAAACGUUUCUCCUCCGAGUGUCUGGGCUACUGCCAUGUCCCUUCCUCUCAAACUAAAUUACAUCAACAAACUCCACUUAAAGCAGUAAAGCCUUUAGGACGCAAGCGGAGCCGCAAGUCAGAUUGGACAUGGUGUGGUCUUAGUCAGCAGGGUGUCAGCGGACGGUGUGGCGAGGCGAGGUCAGCAGGACGCCCAACUCGCAGCCAUGAUGCGUCAGAGGACAAGCAGCGUCAUCGGGCUGAAGUUCACCGCAGUGAGAAAGAGCGAGAGCGAGAGAGAAGAAUUAGGACACGUGAGAGCUUGCCAAGUCCGCACACCACUUCUCUGCUCCUCGCUCCAAAACAGUAGCCACAAGCUAUAAUCAACAUCCGUGCGUGUGUGUGUGUCCGUGUCCCCCAGACGAGUGGAGAUGCCUUGUUUAUAUUUCCAUCAGCCGGCCCCAGCCCAAAUCCAGAUGCUCUUAAGAUAAUAAACAAGUCCUCUUUGUCUUCAAAAGGUUAAAAAGAUAAAAACCCAAUCCAAGUGCAGCAGAAGAUAAACACACACGCACCCCUCAGUGACCUUUGAAGUCUGGAGCAGAUCACUGACGAAGGUGAUCCUUUAACGCUCAGACUAAUUCAGCAUCUACAUCAGAUAGCGAGAGCUCGGAAGUGAAUGAUGUGAGGGAACCUGCAUGAACCCGGCGAGAGGGAGGGAAAGAAUGAAAGAGGGACGCGGAUGGAUGUGCGCAUGUGAUGUACUGCUUUGGAUGUACUGCUGUGAUAAAGCCUCCUCUUACUCCUUUCGCUCUCCCUCCUGCUCUAGCUGUCAGUGUGCUCUGCAGAAGCAGCACCGCUGCCAUCACCAGGCUCCAUCAUGUGUCCACAGGGACGCUGAAAAUCAGAUAAACGACUCGAACUAGAUAAAUCUCCGCGACGGCAAACUGAAAUGAAACGCUGCUGCAUAUUUGCCUUUAACACAAAUUGACCAAGGGCUUGAGACCACCCAAUAGUGCAACACAGCAAAUACAUAAUGAAUACCUGAAGCAUGUAGGAGCGAGUGAUCGGAAGAGACGUUAUCACCUUAUGAGAAACAUUACGGCACUGAAUUAGGUCACAAAACGUUCCUGAGGAGUAUAGUGGCUAUAGCCAGCACUUUAAUGACACUGGCUAGCUGAAAUGCUACUCACGAUAACAAGUAGCUGCCUGGACAACCUUUUCAAACCCAUAUCAAACCCAUAGACUCAGGUUUUUUUGUCGAGGCGCGUCCCACUUGGGUCGCAUGUUGAGAAUCUCUUACUCAACUUAGACUUCACUUGUGAUUCAACUCAAGACUGACUUGGGACUUGACUCAGACUCGGGAUGGAGACUUCUGAAAUUUCAGCCUUGAUAAAAACAUGAACAAAUGGUAAAUGGCGCACUUCUAUAGCGCUUUUACCCAAAGCGCUUUACACUGUGUCUCAUUCACCCACUCACACCCAAUGGUAGCAGAGCUGCCACGCAAGGCGCUAACUCGCCAUCGGGAGCAACUUGGGGUUCGGCGUCUCGCCCAAGGACACUUCGGCAUGUGGAGUCACGUGGGCCGGGAAUCGAACCGCCGACCCUACGAUCAGUGGACGACCCGCUCUACCACCUGAGUCACAGCGGCCCUGGGUGUGGCUAAUAAAUGUCUAAUAAAUAAAUAAAAGGACUGCCAAAAUUACAAAGGAAAAGAAUAGCACUGUUCUGCGUCAUGCCAUCUGUGUGCAGCUCACGGCAGUGAAUCAUAAAAACCAGAAAGAAAAAGCACUGCAGUGUUGAAGAUAUCUACAGAUAUUUUAGAUAUAUUAGAAAUUAUAUAGCAGUGUUCUUCAGCUUACAAUCCGAUUCAUGGCUAAAAGACUUGAGACUCUGAGCUCCGAGGCCCGCGACUCGACUCGGCCGCCGGCUCAGAGACUUUGCUCGGCUCAGAAUCUUGAGACUUGACUCAAGUGAAUUGACUCAAAAAAAAAAGUGAAUUCUGAACAUUUCGGUAUAACGAUCAUUUUAUCAUCACAUCGUCGCCGUGAUACAAUGUUUCUGCAGUACUGUCACUCAUAAAAGGUCAAUUGUUGCAAGGGAAUUUAAAUUUCUUAAUCAAAUGACUUUGACUUAUAAGUAAUUGUUCCAACACACAUGCUCCACACACGCACACACGCCCCCAGAACAUCAUCAUCAUCAUGCAGACUACCUAAAAGUAAUUAGGCUCUUUUUUUAAUUUCUGCAGAAUUAAAUGAACAAGGCAAAACAUACAUUGGAUAUUACUGUGAAAUAAUGAAAGUGUAGUAGCUAAAUAAAGUUAUCCCGUAAACACACGUGCACAUAGACACAGAGUACAAAAGAGGACGUUAUUACAGGAAUGAGAACUCUAACCAGAAAGAAAUUCAAGCUUUUAACAUAAACUCACCUCUUCAAUUAGUAACAGCUCUGCGAUUUCUCUCUUUUCUACACACACACAUACCUUGGACUGCCCAGCACUGUGGCAAUAUUCCAGAUGUAAUAGCUAAAACCAGAUGUGAUGCUGCAUCAUUCACUUCUUCGAAUCGGAUUUAAAGCUACAGUCCAUGAAGGAUUUUUUUUUUUUUUUUUUUGGAGGGGAGGGGAGGGGUCAUUAUUGAGUCAGGGGGAAAAUACUGCGUUCCCACUCCGAGCUGGUGCACGUCACUCUGGGAAUCCUGCACUAGUAAUUCAGAAUAAAUCACAGUCUGAGCUGUCAGUUUCAAAAUGUCAGGUUCGAAUUAAACGUACAUGCCACACGCCAGUUUAAAAGAAAUACGGCCAAAGACCCGCCCACAGUUUUUCCCCAUAUACUGAAGCUUUCCCCUUCCGGCCUUACACAGUGUUCAACAGUACAAAAUGACACCAUUUUUGUACCUUUGCCUCUGUACGCCACCACGGAGAAUUUGAAAAUGAAUCAAUCAAGAUUGGCGUGAUUGGAGUGUAGACUUUCAACUUUAAUUCAAGGGGUUGAACAAAAAUAUUACAUGAACCGUUCGGGAAUCACAGCCACGGAGUCCCUAUCAUUUCCACGGGCUCAAACGUAAGUGGACAAUUGACCGAUGAGCGGUUUCGUGGCCAGGUGUGGCCCGUUUCCUCACUAUAUCAUGACAAAUUGAGGAGAUUAAAAAGGUCUGUAGUUGAUGCCGAUCGUUGAAUUCGCAUGUGGUAGCAUGUGGUUCAUGGGAAUUCUCAAUAAGGGAGGUGUCGAUGCAAGUGAAGGAGGCCAACAUUAGGCUGAAAAAACAAAAAACAGACCUAGCAGAGACAUAGCAGAAUCUUUAGCAGGGGCCAAAUCAACAAUUUGCUUUUAAACAAAAAAAAAACUGAUCCAUUGGUGUUGAUUGAUGACGCGACUGCUGAUAGAACUAGCAGGACGAAUUCUGAAGCGUACAGAACUAUGGGUUCUCAGAUUCGGUUAAAUGCUCCAAAACCGAUAGGACGGCGCUUCACAGUACAGAUGGAUAAUGACCCACGAAAGCAACCCUAGAGCUUCUUAAGGCAAAGAAAUUAAAAUUGUUCGUAAAUGUCUGAUGACCCUGACCCUAUUGAGCAUGCUUUUCACUUCCUGAAGACAAAACGGAAGGCAGAAAGACCAACAAACGAGCAGCAACUGAAGACCGCUGCAGUAAAGACCUGAGCAGUUGAGGGAUAAGGGGCCUUGCUCAAGGGCCCAACAAUGGCGUCUUGGCGUUUCAGAGGUUUGAACUCGCGACCUUCUGAGCAGUAGUCCCAACAACUUAACCACUGAGCUACCACCGCAUGAAACAAGUUGCAUUGCACCACACCACCAUGAAGUUUAAAGAUGCAAAGGUUUGUUUGUUUUUUUUAUGUCUUUCUUUGGUUGCUGAACCUACCACUCCACCAGGCAACUACGAAACUACAAAACAUGCCAAGAUAAAGCUAUUUAACCCGAGCACCCAGGCUACUACCAAGGCCCAAAUCUUCUAGUUUAGGCUCAGGUCUCAUAUAAAACCGUUUUGUUUUUUUAAUGUAAGAGAGUACCAAACCAUCAAUCACUCAGCUAUGAACAACCAGCAGGGUCACAAAUCCUAGACUUAAGUCUGACACACCCUCCAGAGUUCAUUUCUUCCUCUGCUAGCCUUUAAUUGUGCCCAGCACGCAGCCAUUGUGGGCUGCUAUUCUGAAGGUCAUGGUGAAGAAGUCUCGGAGUCACUUGCCUUCCACUUUCCUGCUGCCGCGUACAGACCAGCGGGGAUCAAGGCUUGUGCCAUUACCACUUCAUUAAAAAAUCAUGGUGGUACUUAAGAGACCUCUGUCUCUGUGUUUAACAGGAGAGAUUUAAAGCCGGCAUGAGAUGGCCUUCACUUAAAGACUACGUGAGGAAUUUAAACAUCAGACAGGAAGACUGCGUUUAUAUAUGUUUUAGGUGAAGCGAGACCAAGCUGUUCUUUGCCUGAGCAUGGCUGUGAGGCUGGAUUUUAUUCUCCUUGCUCUCACCAGGGCUUCUACGGCGAUGGAGAUAUAAAAAUUAAAUAAAUAAAAAAGCAAACAUUUUUAACGAGACACUUCUCUCAUACUCAAGCUAUUCAACAGGUCUUUUUUUUUAUAGGGAAAAAGGACUGCAGAAGAUUAAGGGUAUUUGGAUAACCAAAUAAGGGUAUGAACAUAAAUAGAGGCAGGCGAGAAAGCAUGUACAGGAGAGAAUGAAUAAAUUGUAGCCCACGUCUAGUUUUAAACCCAUCAGAACCUGGGUGCCUCCAAUUAAAAGUACGAUCACAGAAACCCUCACAGAUUAAGAGGUGUACGAUCUGAGCAGAGUGAUCUCCACUAACGUGACCCUGCUAGAAGCUCGGAAAAACACCUAGAAAGAUUGGUGGUGGCGCUAACCAUGAGUGAGCGUCAUCGUGAGGUCUCAAUGGAGGGAAUUGUCAGUGUUGAGAACAUGUAAGACACUAGACAAGAAAGAAGACGGGGGGAUGAUGAGAAUUAAGGAAAGGAGGUGAGAGUCUCUGGCGCACACACACGCACACAAAUACAUACAAACACAUACGUAUAUACAUGCACACUAGGAGUGGGUUGAAGACAUUUCUCAGAUACGUGAUGUGUGUCAAAUUAACCGCAAAAUUGGUCGUCUGUGGCUCAGGUGGUACAGCGCUUAGAUUAGUGUCCACUAAUCGUAGGGUUGGCGGUUUGAUUCCCGGCCCACGUGACUCCAUACACACCGAAGUAUCCUUGGGUAAGACACUGAACCCCAAGUUGCUCCCCAUGGCAAGCUAGCGCCUUGCGUGGCAGCUCUGCAGCCAUUGCUGUGCGAGUGUGUGUGUGUGAAUGAGAAACAUCUCCAAAUGAAGCCAUAACACUCUUUUGUCAGGCACUCUGCUCUCUGUUAUA
Long non-coding RNA from Ictalurus punctatus (channel catfish), 6194 nucleotides. Lineage: Eukaryota; Metazoa; Chordata; Actinopteri; Siluriformes; Ictaluridae. The record is from Ensembl.